ACUUCCGCCCAAAAAGGCAAAAACGAGGAAGAAACCAAAGAAGCUAAAGUGGAAGAACGGAGAGAAAUGGAAUACACUUGUAGGGUGGCAGUUAUUUCAAGAACCCUGUCUUGAGUUCUUAGAAAUAAUCUGUGAAUCACAUGUGUUGCGCAACAUUUUCCCUGAAAAGGAAAAGUUUUCCCUUCGGUUGCUAUGUUGAUGAAAAUCCAUUGGAUGCAC
Long non-coding RNA from Magallana angulata, 219 nucleotides. RefSeq lists it as uncharacterized. Lineage: Eukaryota; Metazoa; Mollusca; Bivalvia; Ostreida; Ostreidae. The transcript has 3 exons. The record is from RefSeq and is a predicted model, not a curated record.